AUAAGGAUUCAAAACCCUAAUUCUGAAUUUUGAACAAGGAAUGAGAAUAAUAAUAUAAUAUUAAUUAUAUUUCAGUGCUAUAAACAUAUAUUGUAUAUAUAUAUAUACAGAUAAUGGUUGAUCAAUUAUAGUGCAAUAUGAGAAAACCUAGUAUUACUUUGGUAAACCCUAAUUCGGAAGUCAAAUAGGACUUUAAGAUUUGCUAAGAUGUUGUUUUAUGCGAUUAAUAUCAAGUAUAGUAGAUUUUAUUGCUAAUUAGAGAAUCCUAAUUAGUAAUUAGAAACCCUAAUGACUAGAAACCCUAAUUGGUAAUUAGGAACCCUAAUUGCUAAGUUAUUAACCUUAAUUAUUAAUUUAGCAAGCUUAAUGUUAAUUAGUAAAUUCUUAAACCUAAUUUGUAAGUCUAAGUAAUUAGAAAACCUAAACUAAUUAAGGAAUCCUAAAUUUUAAUUUUUAGAAACUAAAUUUCCAUUUUAACCCUAAUUAGAAAGUCUAGAAAAAAAUCAAAAUUUUAAGACCUUAGGGUUAAACCUUAAGGGUCAAACCUUAAGGGUUAGGCAAGAUUAUAUUUUUGCCAUUAAAAUCACAAGCCAAUUAACCAAAUUGCCCCUCUUGCAUUAUUGUUAGCUAACUUGUCAAACUUGUCAAAACUUUAGUUGUUUACCAACCCUUGACUUUCCCUUGUGCUAAUAACUCCAGCAAAAUCAGCAAUAAACAUCAGCCAACUUCAUUACAUGUUAUAUAUAGACCAAAAGAGAAAAAGUGAUGUUCAAGCCUCAUUUGCUCAACUACUCCUAACUAAGCCAUUCUCUCUCUAAACCCACAAAAUACAAUAGCAUUUCAGUCCCCAAAUCAAGUCUCUACCAUCUUCAUAUCAGAUCAGGAGUCUAGAAUCAAGAUUUGUCCAAGAAAGGUAUAAACCUAACCCAAGAAAUCUGAUCUCUAAAGAUAUGUUAAAAGUUAUGUUUGAAGGUUUAAACAUGUUGUAUGUAGUGUAUAUAGUUGAUCUGGGUUGAUAUUUGUUAGAUCCAUAACAUCUAUAGGCUUGAAUUUGAUGUUUUUCAAAAUCUGGAAAAACUAGAAACUAUGGUCUGACAACCAACUGUCAAACCACAUAGAUCUUUGUCUGUGUAUAGUUUUUGUGUUUUGAAAGUUUGUACUUUUAGUAUGACAUGUGGUCUUUAAUUUGGAACUCAAAUCAGGGUCAUAUCUAGCUUAGAUUUCAAGUUAUUGUUGGUCAAAGUCGCUUGACCGACCAUGACCAAGCGAAUCUGGGAAACCCAGAUCGUGCCCAUAAACGUCUAACAAGAUGUUCUUGGGUUCGGAUCUGACACUGGUUUGAUGUUUUGGUCAUGUUGUUGUAUCUAGAUUCUUGUAUGGUAUAUGGACUACAGAUUUGUGUCUUUAAAUCACAUAAAUAACAUAUAGAUUUGAUGUAGUAAAUGGUCAAACUAGCUUACUCGAACACAGUUUCUGUUUUCUGGGUAACCCAGAAAACUCAAGAACACUCCUUCUGACAAGGUUUGACCGUAUGAUAUAUAGUGAUUCUGAUGUAUUUAAGCCAACCUGAUGAAUGAUAUAUGUACUCUGUCAUGUAGACUACAAGCUUGAACCGUUAGAACACCAUAACAUCACACAAAACUCAAUUUAAUUAAGGUACAAAGUAGCUAUCAAGCACUGCCUGGGUUUUUGGGUAACCUAGAAAAUCCAGGAAGGACCUGACAGCCACUUUGGACCUGCUGAUCUUGCUUGUAUGUUGUAGAUUGACCCUGUUAGUUGAUUAUUCAUGUAGUAUUACAUCAAUACUACAUGAUCAUUACAAAAGCAUGCCCAGAAACAUCUUGUGUAGUGAUUAACGAUCGGUCAAAGUAGGCACCAAGAAACUGAGUUUGAAUGUUCUUGAGCCUCAAGAACACCAACUGCGACAGAAAUCGUCGCUAAAGCCUUUAGCGACGGAUUUAAUUAUUUUAGUUUUCUAAUUUUUGAAAAAUCGGUUAAAAAUAAAAAUAAUUUUUG
Molecule: long non-coding RNA, 2016 nt
Filed under: Panax ginseng (ginseng)
Lineage: Eukaryota; Viridiplantae; Streptophyta; Magnoliopsida; Apiales; Araliaceae
Description: long non-coding RNA (PGIN_LNC013426)
Source: RNAcentral